This 272-nucleotide ribosomal RNA is filed under the name uncultured bacterium. RNAcentral's name for it is "partial 16S ribosomal RNA". It matches the Rfam family "Bacterial small subunit ribosomal RNA", at positions 524 to 796 of the family's 1533-position model. The record is from RNAcentral.
UACGAAGGGGGCUAGCGUUGCUCGGAAUUACUGGGCGUAAAGCGCACGUAGGCGGCUUUCUAAGUCGGGGUGAAAUCCUGGAGCUCAACUCCAGACUGCCUUCGAUACUGGAAAGCUCGAGUCCGGGAGAGGUGAGUGGAACUGCGAGUGUAGAGGUGAAAUUCGUAGAUAUUCGCAAGAACACCAGUGGCGAAGGCGGCUCACUGGCCCGGUACUGACGCUGAGGUGCGAAAGCGUGGGGAGCAACAGGGAUUAAGAUACCCGGUACGUCC